AGGGCGCACGGUGGAUGCCUUGGCACUAGGAGCCGAUGAAGGACGGGACUAACACCGAUAUGCUUUGGGGAGCUGUAAGUAAGCUAUGAUCCAGAGAUUUCCGAAUGGGGGAACCCAAUAUCUUUUAUAGGAUAUUACUUUUCAGUGAAUACAUAGCUGAUUAGAGGUAGACGCAGAGAACUGAAACAUCUUAGUACCUGCAGGAAGAGAAAGAAAAUUCGAUUCCCUGAGUAGCGGCGAGCGAAACGGGAAGAGCCCAAACCAACAAGCUUGCUUGUUGGGGUUGUAGGACUCCAAUAUGGUAGUCUGUUAGUAUAGUUGAAGGAUUUGGAAAAUUCCGCUAAAGAGGGUGAAAGCCCCGUAGACGAAAUGCUAACAACGCCUAGGAGGAUCCUGAGUACGGCGGAACACGAGAAAUUCCGUCGGAAUCCGCGGGGACCAUCCCGCAAGGCUAAAUACUCCCUAGUGACCGAUAGUGAACCAGUACCGUGAGGGAAAGGUGAAAAGCACCCCGGAAGGGGAGUGAAAUAGAUCCUGAAACCGUGUGCCUACAACAAGUCAAAGCUCGUUAAUGAGUGAUGGCGUGCCUUUUGUAGAAUGAACCGGCGAGUUACGAUUGCAUGCGAGGUUAAGUCGAAGAGACGGAGCCGCAGCGAAAGCGAGUCUGAAUAGGGCGAAUGAGUAUGUAGUCGUAGACCCGAAACCAUGUGAUCUACCCAUGUCCAGGUUGAAGGUGCGGUAAAACGCACUGGAGGACCGAACCCACGUACGUUGAAAAGUGCGGGGAUGAGGUGUGGGUAGCGGAGAAAUUCCAAACGAACUUGGAGAUAGCUGGUUCUCUCCGAAAUAGCUUUAGGGCUAGCCUCGGAAUUGAGAAUGAUGGAGGUAGAGCACUGUUUGGACUAGGGGCCCAUCUCGGGUUACCGAAUUCAGAUAAACUCCGAAUGCCAUUCAUUCAUAUCCGGGAGUCAGACUGUGAGUGAUAAGAUCCAUAGUCGAAAGGGAAACAGCCCAGACCACCAGCUAAGGUCCCAAAAUAUAUGUUAAGUGGAAAAGGAUGUGGGGUUGCACAGACAACUAGGAUGUUGGCUUAGAAGCAGCCACCAUUUAAAGAGUGCGUAAUAGCUCACUAGUCGAGUGACCCUGCGCCGAAAAUGUACCGGGGCUAAACAUAUUACCGAAGCUGUGGACUACACCAUUAGGUGUAGUGGUAGGAGAGCGUUCUAAGGGCGUUGAAGGUCGAUCGUGAGGACGGCUGGAGCGCUUAGAAGUGAGAAUGCCGGUAUGAGUAGCGAAAGACAGGUGAGAAUCCUGUCCACCGUAUGACUAAGGUUUCCUGGGGAAGGCUCGUCCGCCCAGGGUUAGUCGGGACCUAAGCCGAGGCCGAUAGGCGUAGGCGAUGGACAACAGGUUGAUAUUCCUGUACCAGUUGUUUUUGUUUGAGCAAUGGAGGGACGCAGUAGGCUAAGGAAUGCAUGCGAUUGGAAGUGCAUGUCCAAGCAAUGAGUCUUGAGUAGAGUUAAAUGCUUUACUCUUUAAGGACAAGUUGUGACGGGGAGCGAAAUAAUAGUAGCGAAGUUCCUGAUGUCACACUGCCAAGAAAAGCUUCUAGUGAGAAAACAACUGCCCGUACCGUAAACCGACACAGGUAGUCGAGGAGAGUAUCCUAAGGUGAGCGAGCGAACUCUCGUUAAGGAACUCGGCAAAAUGACCCCGUAACUUCGGGAGAAGGGGUGCUGACUUCGGUCAGCCGCAGUGAAUAGGCCCAAGCGACUGUUUAUCAAAAACACAGGUCUCUGCAAAAUCGUAAGAUGAAGUAUAGGGGCUGACGCCUGCCCGGUGCUGGAAGGUUAAGAGGAUGGGUUAGCUUCGGCGAAGCUCAGAAUUGAAGCCCCAGUAAACGGCGGCCGUAACUAUAACGGUCCUAAGGUAGCGAAAUUCCUUGUCGGGUAAGUUCCGACCCGCACGAAAGGCGUAACGAUUUGGGCACUGUCUCAACGAGAGACUCGGUGAAAUUUUAGUACCUGUGAAGAUGCAGGUUACCCGCGACAGGACGGAAAGACCCCAUGGAGCUUUACUGUAGUUUGAUAUUGAGUGUCUGUACCGCAUGUACAGGAUAGGUAGGAGCCGUAGAAAUCGGAACGCUAGUUUCGAUGGAGGCGCUGGUGGGAUACUACCCCUGCGUUAUGGCCACUCUAACCCGCACCACUAAUCGUGGUGGGAGACAGUGUCAGAUGGGCAGUUUGACUGGGG
RNAcentral lists this ribosomal RNA (2253 nucleotides) under human gut metagenome. Its description in RNAcentral is "bacterial LSU rRNA". It matches the Rfam family "Bacterial large subunit ribosomal RNA", at positions 14 to 2279 of the family's 2925-position model. The record is from RNAcentral.